Molecule: ribosomal RNA, 449 nt
Filed under: uncultured bacterium
Lineage: Bacteria
Description: partial 16S ribosomal RNA
Rfam family: Bacterial small subunit ribosomal RNA
Source: RNAcentral
AACGAACGCUGGCGGCAUGCCUAACACAUGCAAGUCGAACGAAGGCUUCGGCCUUAGUGGCGCACGGGUGCGUAACGCGUGGGAAUCUGCCCUUGGCUUCGGAAUAACAGUUAGAAAUGACUGCUAAUACCGGAUGAUGUCGCAAGACCAAAGAUUUAUCGGCCAGGGAUGAGCCCGCGUAGGAUCAGGUAGUUGGUGGGGUAAAGGCCUACCAAGCCGACGAUCCUUAGCUGGUCUGAGAGGAUGAUCAGCCACACUGGGACUGAGACACGGCCCAGACUCCUACGGGAGGCAGCAGUGGGGAAUAUUGGACAAUGGGGGCAACCCUGAUCCAGCAAUGCCGCGUGAGUGAUGAAGGCCUUAGGGUUGUAAAGCUCUUUUACCCGGGAUGAUAAUGACAGUACCGGGAGAAUAAGCUCCGGCUAACUCCGUGCCAGCAGCCGCCGUAA